This is a long non-coding RNA of Macaca fascicularis (crab-eating macaque), 2362 nucleotides long. Lineage: Eukaryota; Metazoa; Chordata; Mammalia; Primates; Cercopithecidae. The record is from Ensembl.
UUUUUUUUUUUUUUUUGAAAUGGUGACCAAUUCUUGGUAAAGUUCCGAACAAAACUAACCACAAUAUUCUCUUCAUGUAUACGGUAGCUGCAUUCCUGCAAAAUUCAGAGUAUUACGAUUGUGCAAAAUACUUUGUGUUUAUUUGCAAAAUGGAGAGAAGCUUAAGUUCAGAUGAUUAUAAAUAGACUUUUUACCUACAUAACUGUCCAGCAGGAUACUCAAGGUGCAAAUGUCCCAUGCACUGUAGACAGAUAUUUAUCUCCUAUGUGCUCUCUUGCCAUAUAAUGCCUGUUCAGACGUUGUAACGAUCUGAAAAUGUCCUACCCAUAAAAAACUCUCCUAGGAGGUGGGUAAUCCUAUUAUAUUCUAUUUCCAUGGAGACUUUUUAGAACAACAUGUUUAAUUUCAAACUACAACUUUCAUUAUAACAAAAUAUUUGCAACCCAUGAUAAAGUAUUCCAUAUUCUUCCAAAAAUUCCUUUGGUAUUACUGUCUGCUGCAAUGAAGAUAUCACAAGUGUUCCCAUGCAUCCCUAAAUAUGUAUGGAUAGAUUCUGGGUUUUGAAUUUGCUGAAAUAGCCUUGAAAUAGAGACAUUAAUUACAUGCUUAGUUGGAGACAAUGUAAUAAGGUUCCUUUGCCAAAGUAAUUGGAACCCUACAGCUAUGCUCUCCCGGUUAUUAUACAGGAGCAACAAGUUUUAAGGCAUAUAAAAACACCAGAGGCAGGUUGAAUUGUAACAGCAACUCAAAGUUAGUUGAAAAAAAUUCUAAAUUAAGACUGAAAAAACAUGACCCAUCAUCACUGAAAUGCUCUGUUUCAUGACUUUGUGAUUACCAGAAUAUAGUUACUUUAAGUGCCAGACUUUCUUAAAGCUCCACUUCAUCCAAUAGCUGAUUUACCUGUAAAACACCUAUGAAAAUAUUGAUUCCAAAAUGCCGAUACAAGAGGAUGUCUCUACUAUUGGCUUUAUUGUGCUUUGAAGGGCAAAAGAAUGGUAUGGAAAGAUCUCACCAAAGCAGAAAAAACAAGAAGCUUGAAUUUAAAACCAUGUUGGGAAGGUUCAUGAAUGGUGAUGUCAAGAAAUAAAUGGGCAUGGUAAAAGAGACAGACUGUGAGACACUGAAAAAAGAAGAAAACAAACAAAUAUUUAAAUAUUUUCGGAAUAUAUUAUGAGACAAUGACUUUCUCCAUAAUUACAGACUCACAAAUACAUUUAACAAUUUGAUUUGCACCAUGGCUAUGAAAUGAAGCUCAAAUCAAGAUUUUUAUACUCAUGGCAUCCAAAGAAGUUUACUUUGUGGGAGUCUCAAUACAUUUUCUUUCCAUGAAAAUAUAGUGGCCGGCUGCUAUGGUUUGACUGUGUCCCCCAAAGUUCAUGUGUUAAAAACAUAAUCUCCAAUGCAAUAGUGCAGCACCUUAGGAGUUGAUUAGGUCAUAGAGGCUCUGCCCUAACAUGGAUUAAUGCUGUUAUCAGAGAAGUGGCACCCUCAUGAAGGAUGAGUUUGGCCCCUUCCAUCUCUCCUGUGGGCUCUCUUGGUAUGUGAUGCCUUCCAACAUAUUAUGACAGAGAAUGAAAGCCCUCACUAGACAUGGUCCUUCAAUCUUGGGCUUCACAGUUUUGAAAACUGUGAAACAAUAAAUUUCUGUUCUUUAUACAUCACCCAGUCUCAAGUAUUCUGUGACAGCAGCACGAAACAGGCUUAGACAUUUUCUUUUGCUGUACAUUAGUCCUUUGAAAACUAGUGUUUUCCAAAUAGUUGAAUUUAUAAAAGUUAUCCACCAACCAAGCAUAGGCAGGAGUCAUUUGAUGACAUCCUGAACUAGAGAUAAAGAUGUAAUGUACCUUUCUGGAAGUCAAUAUUUUUAAUGUUUUUCCAAGUUCCAUGUGUGUGCUUGGGGUGAGGGGAGGGCAUUUGGUAAGAGAAAAGGGAGUUAGAACACUUCAAAAUUUGAUGUCAAGGGAAUUUACAUAUCCUGAUUUCUGGAUACCAGUCUAGCUGAUGUUCACAUUUUGUCAUUCAGUGUGUGUAUGUGUGUGCGCAUAUGCACACACAUGUGUGGAUAUGCAUGUGUGAGUACAUAGACAUACAUUACAGCACACUUUGGCCUCCUUUCUAUUGCUCUCAUAUGCAAAGCUGCUAUCUCAGGCAUUUAGCUCAUUCUGUGGCUGGCUCUUUCUCAGCCUUCAGAUCUCACCUCAAAUGCUGUCUCUCCUGAUAGGCCCUCGCUGCUUCUCUAUGGAAGAAGCCAUUCUCAUCCACUUUCCAAGACCACAUCCUGUUUAUUUUCUUCAGAGCACUUACAAGGCUGCAAUGAUCUUGUUUAUUGACUUGACUGUUUAUUGAUGAUUUCUCCCCAUGU